This 1426-nucleotide long non-coding RNA is filed under the name Sorghum bicolor (sorghum). Its description in RNAcentral is "long non-coding RNA (SBIC_LNC017185)". The record is from RNAcentral. Lineage: Eukaryota; Viridiplantae; Streptophyta; Magnoliopsida; Poales; Poaceae.
CCUCUUCUACAGCUAUGCGCCCUAAAAGAUUCUGCCUCAUUCGUCCUCGUUUUUCUCGUUUACCCUCCGCUGCCUCGUUGCCUCCGCUUCGCUUCCUCUCUCUGUGCUUCCCACGGCUGUAGGACGUCCGCGCUCGCUUGGUCUGGUCGUCGUUCCGGCCGCUCUCUUCCUCUUCCCCUGCCGCGUUGCUCCGUCUUCUAGAUCUCAAGGGUGUUCUCGUGUUUUAGUCUACUCAGGAUCUUCCUCCCUCCGGCUCGCCCACUGCUGCACUGGCGGGGCGAGCCCCCGCCGGCCGUCCUCCACUCCUGCGGCUUCCUGCAUCCUUCCUGGAUUCGGGUCGCGGUGCCCACCGUGCAGCUUCUGCUUCUUCUGAUGCCGUCUUGUUCCUGUAAGUUUCUAUGAAUUUGUACUUCAUUUCACCUAUGUAUGCGUACAUUGUUUUUUCUUUUUUUGUCAACACAUAGUUCUUUUGCGGCCGUUUGGUUUGCACAGGGUGUGUUGACGGUCUUUAAUGCUCACAUUUAACCGUCAACUAAUCAGAGAAAAGGACCUAUAUGCAACCAACACCCAGACUUAGGGUUUUAUCUGACAGAAUUCUACGAGGUUUGGUGUUUGUCUAUUUUUGCAGAGGGGCCCACACGUCGGGUUUACAUAGAGAUAUUAACGUGUGCGGUAAUUUUCUAUCAUCUAGAAGACUCCAGAAGCCACGGGAACGAGCGGGAGGCCGAGCGGGUGUUGACGGUCCUUAAGUAUCAAAUUUAAUUAUCAAAUAAAUAAAGAAAAGGAUCCAAAUGAAAUCAACAUCCAUACUUAGGGUUUUAUCUGACAGAAUUCCACGAGUUUUGGUGUUUGUCUAUUUCUGCAGGGGGUUAUGAGGAAAUACGAAAGAAAGGCCCACAUGUCGGGAUUACAUAGAGAUAUCAACGUGCCGCGCAAUUAUCUUACAUCUAGAAGACUCCAGAAGCCACGAGAAGGAAGCGGAGGCCGAACGGGGCCUGGCUCUGGGCGCCCGCCCAGGAGACCAGGGCGCCCGCCCCCUGUUGGACUCCGAUCAGGACUCUCUUUCGGGAUCGAUCUCCACCGACCUAAAGCAUCAAGGAUAACCGUUCAAUCAAUGUCGGUUUGAUCCAACGGCUCAUAUUUACUUGGAGGGACUAUAAAACCAGACCCCCUGGCCCCUGGAGGAGAGAGCCUCUCAACCCUAAUUCAUUAUUCUUCAAGGGAGAAGAAGCCUCUGAUCAAGCCUAGAGCCACCACAUCAAUUAGACAUCUAGAUUAGCAUAGCUACAUAAGAUUAGAACUAGAAGGAGUCAAUCUUCGAUUGAUUUCCGGAUCUGUCAAGAGGAUUCUUGGUAAUUCUCUAAUUGUUCUUCUAAUUGUUCUUCUAAUUCUUCAAUAUUAUGAAUAUGACUUUGUUCUACUUUAA